This is a long non-coding RNA of Misgurnus anguillicaudatus (oriental weatherfish), 1620 nucleotides long. RefSeq lists it as uncharacterized. The record is from RefSeq and is a predicted model, not a curated record. Lineage: Eukaryota; Metazoa; Chordata; Actinopteri; Cypriniformes; Cobitidae.
UGACCUAUGUGGACUUGUGGUAGAAUAGAAACCUUAAUGUUUAUCUUACAGGCUUUUGACGAAAUAUCAUUUUAAAAGCACCACCACACGCAAGCGGACCUAAAAACCGAGGAGAACUUUUACGUUGCGACUUGACAAACAAGAACGUGUCGAGAUCCGUAGCGCUAAGCGUGCGCGUGGCUGUUGCUCUGCAUCUCACGCUCAUUGACGAAACAUUUAAACAUAUAAAUGAUUACGUUUCCAGCGCGCUACAGACACAGUGAGAAGAUGGACAGCUUAUCAUACAUCUUACAGCCAGAGUUCAGCUCUGAGAUACCCAACACGCCGCUCAACAAACUCAGCGCGCGGGCACGAGAAGACGGUUUCAAGCUCCCCUCUCUGUGAAUUGAUUCUACUAUGAGCCUACCCGAAUCGGUGCGAGAAAGAGAUCUGUGCUUCCCGUGCCCACAGUUGGUGCAACAUGACAUAAGAUUUCAAUGACCUGUAACGUGUGGCAGGAGAUGUCAACGUGGUCUGUAUUAACUCCUUACGUCUCCGACUCUAUCUGUCCAGCAUCACUAGUCAGCAACCGUCAUCCCUUCCUACUCCAGCUCGUAAUCGAGAUCAUAUGUUUAACUGGUGCUGAAACCCAACACGAGACCUCCACAUCAAAUAAAAUCUGCUGCCAGGAGAGGGGCCUGCAAGAUCUUUCCCCCUUCAGGAGAAUGAAAAAAAGGCCUAGAACAUAGACCGUAAAAGUGCGGAGGGCCCCAUGUCCCCUCCAAAAAAACAUGUGAUCAAGCUGGGAUGAGUUCACUUUUGGACGUUUUACGUUUUUUUUAGGGAUCGUGUACUGUAAUAUGUCUUUAAUAUGUUCAUGGUGUACAGACAGAAAAAAACUGAGCCUGUUUUAACCCAAACCUUUACUAGCACCUUAUUUUUAUGUUUCUUCUCACAGCUGCCUUUUGUUGGACUUAUUGGGUGAUUUCUUUUGCAUAUUUUGCAUACUUUUUAUUUUAAGCCUUAUUUUGCAUAAUUUUCCUAUACUAAAAUGUUUCUGUAAAGCUGCUUGGCAACAAUGCAAACUGGGCGAAGUGCUAUAGAAAUACAUUUAAAGGGACACUCCACUUUUUUUGAAAAUUGGCUCAUUUUCCAGCUCCCCUAGAGUUAAACACUUGAUUUUUACAGUUUCGGAAUCCAUUCAGCCAAUCUCCGGGUCUGGCGGUACCACUUUUAGCAUAGCUUAGCAUAAUCCAUUGAAUCUGAUUAGACCAUUAGCAUCGCGCUCAAAAAUAACUUUAGAGUUUUAAUAUUUUUCCUGUUUAAAAUUUGACUCUUCUGUAGUUACAUCGUGUAAAAGUGGAGUGUCCCUUUAAGUGAGUGAAUUUAGUGCGACUAUUGAUACAAAAAUUAAUCCGACUAUUUUGCAUUGAAUACAACAUAUUUCUUCAUGUUUUCUUACCAAUCUCUACAAAGACGUCAGGUGCUUAUAUUUUUUACCGCAUAGGACAAGCACAAGCUUAUAAUUGUCCAUUCGAAAAUUGACAUAGAUGUAAUUUUCAAUAGAACCAAUUGAAAAGAAUUCACGCAAAGGGAUGAGAAUGAAUCAAGUGCAUCUAAUCCCAUCAGCCUCAGCAAAGA